Molecule: ribosomal RNA, 342 nt
Filed under: uncultured Leptolinea sp.
Lineage: Bacteria; Bacillati; Chloroflexota; Anaerolineae; Anaerolineales; Anaerolineaceae
Description: bacterial SSU rRNA
Rfam family: Bacterial small subunit ribosomal RNA
Source: RNAcentral
ACAGGGUGACAGGUGGUGCAUGGUUGUCGUCAGCUCGUGUCGUGAGAUGUUGGGUUAAGUCCCGCAACGAGCGCAACCCUCGCUGUGUGUUAUAUGUGUCACACGGGACUGCCGGUCUUAAGCCGGAGGGAGGUGGGGAUGAUGUCAAGUCAGCAUGGCCUUUAUAUCCUGGGCUACACACACGCUACAAUGGCCAACACAAUAGGUUGCUAAGCCGCGAGGUGGCGCCAAUCCAUAAAGUUGGUCUCAGUUCAGAUUGUAGGCUGCAACCCGCCUGCAUGAAGAUGGAGUUGCUAGUAACCGCAGGUCAGCUAUACUGCGGUGAAUACGUUCCCGGGGCUU